UUCUUCUUCUCAACCACGGAUCUGUGCCCGGCGGUCCCUUGCUUCUACGGAAGUCCAAGGUUGAUUGCUGUGCAGCUCGAUAACUCCACGGAGCCAUCAACUUGUUAUGGUGUCAAUGUCUUAUCGACAGGUCCAAGAAAGACUGGUAUAGCUGCGCAGUUCGGUCGUCGAAAGACUACCUGAGCCGUGUGGUUGCCAAAGGCUUUAUAUUCCACCCCUCUUUUCCGAGACCGUCGGUCGGUGAGGUUGAGGUAAACCAUAUACGCCUACAUUC
RNAcentral lists this small RNA (274 nucleotides) under Metarhizium acridum CQMa 102. Its description in RNAcentral is "A. fumigatus sRNA Afu_309". It matches the Rfam family "A. fumigatus sRNA Afu_309". Lineage: Eukaryota; Fungi; Ascomycota; Sordariomycetes; Hypocreales; Clavicipitaceae. The record is from Rfam by way of RNAcentral.